RNAcentral lists this ribosomal RNA (492 nucleotides) under uncultured bacterium. RNAcentral's name for it is "partial 16S ribosomal RNA". It matches the Rfam family "Bacterial small subunit ribosomal RNA", at positions 29 to 507 of the family's 1533-position model. The record is from RNAcentral.
AGUGAACGCUGGCGGUAGGCCUAACACAUGCGAGUCGAACGGCAGCACAGUAAGAGCUUGCUCUUACGGGUGGCGAGUGGCGGACGGGUGAGGAAUACAUCGGAAUCUACUUUUUCGUGGGGGAUAACGUAGGGAAACUUACGCUAAUACCGCAUACGACCUACGGGUAAAAGCAGGGGAUCUUCGGACCUUGCGCGAUUGAAUGAGCCGAUGACGGAUUAGCUAGUUGGCGGGGUAAAGGCCCACCAAGGCGACGAUCCGUAGCUGGUCUGAGAGGAUGAUCAGCCACACUGGAACUGAGACACGGUCCAGACUCCUACGGGAGGCAGCAGUGGGGAAUAUUGGACAAUGGGCGCAAGCCUGAUCCAGCCAUACCGCGUGGGUGAAGAAGGCCUUCGGGUUGUAAAGCCCUUUUGUUGGGAAAGAAAAGCAGCAGGUUAAUACCCCGCUGUUCUGACGGUACCCAAAGAAUAAGCACCGGCUAACUUCGUG